Molecule: unclassified non-coding RNA, 237 nt
Filed under: uncultured Mortierella
Lineage: Eukaryota; Fungi; Mortierellomycota; Mortierellomycetes; Mortierellales; Mortierellaceae
Description: sequence contains ITS2
Source: RNAcentral
AACACCUCAAAUCCCUCUACUUGUUGGAGGAGUUUGGACUUGAGCAAUCCCAACUUUUCGAAAGAGAAGGCGGGUUGCUUGAAAUGCAGGUGCAGCUAGAUUCUUUCUUCUGAGCUAUAAGCAUACUUAUUUAAUCCCGUCAAACGGAUUAUUACUUUUGCUGCAGCUAACAUAAAGGUUGAAGAGUCGCUAUGGCUGACUGAUGCAGGAUUAACAUAUCGCGCAAGCGAUCUGUAA